This 425-nucleotide ribosomal RNA is filed under the name uncultured bacterium. RNAcentral's name for it is "partial 16S ribosomal RNA". It matches the Rfam family "Bacterial small subunit ribosomal RNA", at positions 354 to 796 of the family's 1533-position model. The record is from RNAcentral.
GUGGGGAAUAUUGGACAAUGGGCGCAAGCCUGAUCCAGCCAUGCCGCGUGAGUGAUGAAGGCCUUAGGGUUGUAAAGAUCUUUCACCGAUGAAGAUAAUGACGGUAGUCGGAGAAGAAGCCCCGGCUAACUUCGUGCCAGCAGCCGCGGUAAUACGAAGGGGGCUAGCGUUGUUCGGAUUUACUGGGCGUAAAGCGCACGUAGGCGGUUUGUUAAGUCAGGGGUGAAAUCCCGGAGCUCAACUCCGGAACUGCCUUUGAUACUGGCAAGCUAGAGUCCGGAAGAGGUAAGUGGAACUCCUAGUGUAGAGGUGGAAUUCGUAGAUAUUAGGAAGAACACCAGUGGCGAAGGCGGCUUACUGGUCCGGAACUGACGCUGAGGUGCGAAAGCGUGGGGAGCAAACAGGAUUAGAAACCCUUGUAGUCC